GACAUAAUGAUCAUGGUGGGAACAAUGGAUAUACUAACACAUCAUAUCAAAUCGAAAUAUCAUUUUCAAUUUGGAUCUAAUAACCACAAUCAAGGAAAUUGAACAAUUAAAAUGGAAUUAAAGUCAAGACAUGAAUAUGGAAGAAUUAAUCAAUUUUUAUUCCUAAGCAUGAAUUAAAAGUCAAGAAUUAUGGGGAAAUUCUAAUCAAAAGUUAAUAUGGCUAAUCAAGUAUUUUUUAGGGAGUUUUUUCAUGGUUAACAA
RNAcentral lists this long non-coding RNA (261 nucleotides) under Lathyrus oleraceus (garden pea). RNAcentral describes it as "Pisum sativum (pea) long non-coding RNA (PSAT_LNC005785)". The record is from RNAcentral. Lineage: Eukaryota; Viridiplantae; Streptophyta; Magnoliopsida; Fabales; Fabaceae.